Molecule: ribosomal RNA, 275 nt
Filed under: uncultured bacterium
Lineage: Bacteria
Description: partial 16S ribosomal RNA
Rfam family: Bacterial small subunit ribosomal RNA
Source: RNAcentral
CCUACGGGGGGCUGCAGUGGGGAAUAUUGCGCAAUGGGGGAAACCCUGACGCAGCAACGCCGCGUGAAGGAAGACGGCCUUCGGGUUGUAAACUUCAACAAGCAGGGAAGAUAAUGACGGUACCUGACUGGAAGCCACGGCUAACUACGUGCCAGCAGCCGCGGUAAUACGUAGGUGGCAAGCGUUGUCCGGAUUUACUGGGUGUAAAGGGCGUGUAGGCGGGUGCUUAAGUCAGUGGUGAAAUACCGAGGCUCAACUUCGGGGCUGCCAUUGAA